UUAAUUACUUAGUUAAUUUAAUAUUUAUUGUAAAUAAUUUGAAUAUCGAUAGUUUUCGAUAGUUGAAAUAAUCGACACGAGCGCGCGUAGGCGUCGGCAAAGCGCUUUCUCAUUGGUCGACGCGCAGCCAAUGAGAGCGCGCUAUACCGAACAUGCGUUGGUGCUGUGCGCGGAGCUCAGUCGGCGGCUGGCAACCACCGGUGACGGUGGUAGUAGCUGGUUCUCCCGGGUUGAGACCCUCCGGGUCUCCUCGGUUGGAGAAGCUGCCAGGGGCCCCUCCCAGAGGAGGAGGGUGACCCCAGGGUGGGGACCAGGGGUGGCUCAGUUGGCAAACUGGGCAUCACUGCCUGGAGUCCAGGGUGAGGUAUGCUUAAGAUGUUUUACACCUUAAAGCAACCUGGAUUCUAGGUGAUGAUGUCUAGGUUGCCAAUGUAAAGCUGACUCCAUAAUGGGGUUUCUACCUCAUUGUAGAGCCAGUUAAGGGUUGUUCCACAACUGGGAAUUUAAGGUUAUGUUUACCCGUUAUACACAAUAGAGUCUCUAUUGUUUGUAAUGUGUCAACUUAACCUAAAAAAUCUCUAUUGUGGACACUUUCUGAGAACCUGGACAUUGGGAACCACAAGAAGAGAUGUAGUGAAAUACUGCAUUAGUCGCCAAGAGUCCGCACCAAAGAUGCCAGGAAGUGGAAGCAAAAAGACGACAAUUAAGAUGAUGCCGAUGAAGAGGGCCUACAAUAAAAGGAUGGAGGACAUGAGUUAGAGUGACCCCACACUCAUUCUCUCUAGUCAACAGCAGGAUUCAAAGAAAUCUUGAGCUUUUAUACAGGAUGCUGCGCUGAAAACGUUGUAAAAAAGGAAUUCAUAAUUGGGCGUGAAUAAAAGUGGCUCCUCCCUCACUCCCUCCAGUCAUCUUCGGGAUUAUAAAAGAUUUUGUGUUGGUCCAAAAGAUACUGCCACUGCCAACAUUCUGAGGAAGGAAUUUCUAAUUCACAAUUCCUAAGGAUCUUUAAGAAUAAAAAGAGAAAGAAGUUAAAAGUGAUGCCAAAAGUCAUCACAUCAUCAUUUCUCCUAGUUGUAAACAUGGGGGUUCAAAAGAAAAUACAUCUUAAAAAUUUUCAAGGACAUUAAAGACAAUACAAAAGAAGUGCCACCCCCUCCUCCUUUACUAUCCUGGAUCUACAUUAGCUGGUCCAGAUGAGGUUUUGAAGGAUAAAAUGAAUGACUUAGUCGAAGUGAUCUUUCUUGAAGUUUGCUAUCAUUGCUUGGAGGACAAUUAUCGGUACCUGGCCCAAGCUGAGGAAUAAAGAAAAUUAGUAAUUAGUGGGAUUUCCUGUCAUUGUGUAUUUUCUCUUCGAUGUGGAAAUCAAGGGCGCCAGUGAUCUUUGGCUCAUCUUUAUAAGGAGGAAAUGCGACGGCAUGGCAUAAAUCACCAAGGGAGGAUAUAUCGGUGUUCGGUGAGUCUUCCUAUUUCUUAAAUGACAUUCGAGCUUUCGCCAAAAGUCAAAAUCUUCAACUGGAAAGACUUCGGGAUCGCUGGUUAAUUCUAAAUGUACGCUGAUGUUCAUUUGGGAACAAGGGUCUUCGUUCGAUAAAGCAGGUCAUAACCGGUGUAAAUUAAUAUUUGCACGUGUUUCGAAAAUUCGCUAUAUUUACUUAAAAUUUGAUAUUAAAAAUAAUUUUCCAAACACAAAGCUUUAGCUUCGGGAGUGGUCGAAAUCUUAUCUGAAACCGCGAACGAUUUUAGGGUGUGCUUAAGUUUAUUUUUUGCCUCUCAGUAAUAUUUCUAAUUUUUAAAUUUUAUUUACUUUUUUUGCCGGAAGUAUUUCAUUUUUCCUUUUUUGUUUUUGAAAAUUUGCGUUUGUUCCCCAUAAGUAAUUUUUUAAAUCGUGUUAUCGGAAGUUUUCGAAAUUUUUACAUCAUUUCCAAGUGCUGCUUCAGAAUGGAGAUCGGAUUUGGGAAAAUUGAG
Molecule: long non-coding RNA, 1965 nt
Organism: Leptopilina heterotoma
Lineage: Eukaryota; Metazoa; Arthropoda; Insecta; Hymenoptera; Figitidae
Exons: 5
Source: RefSeq, a predicted model, not a curated record